GAUGAGAACGUAGUGAAACGCGAUAUGUAAUGUGAAUUGCAGAAUUCAGUGAAUCAUCGAAUCUUUGAACGCACAUGGCGCCUUCCAGUAUCCUGGGAGGCAUGCCUGUCCGAGCGUCGUUUCAACCCUCGAGCCCCCGUGGCCCGGCGUUGGGGAUCUGCCACGGCAGGCCCCUAAAACCAGUGGCGGACCCGAAGGCCCUCUCCUUUGCGCAGUAGCAUCAGCCUCGCAUUGGGAUCCCUCGGCGUCCUGCCUCUAAACCCCCCACAAGUCCGCUCCGGCGGCACCAAGGUUGACCUCGGAUCAGGUAGGAAUACCCGCUGAACUUAAGCAUAUCAAUAGCGGAGGA
Molecule: unclassified non-coding RNA, 349 nt
Filed under: soil metagenome
Description: partial contains 5.8S ribosomal RNA, internal transcribed spacer 2, and large subunit ribosomal RNA
Rfam family: 5.8S ribosomal RNA (bases 5-119)
Source: RNAcentral